CCUACGGGAGGCAGCAGUGGGGAAUUUUGGACAAUGGGCGCAAGCCUGAUCCAGCCAUGCCGCGUGUGGGAAGAAGGCCUUCGGGUUGUAAACCACUUUUGUCAGGGAAGAAACGGCUCUUACUAAUAUUAGGGGCUAAUGACGGUACCUGAAGAAUAAGCACCGGCUAACUACGUGCCAGCAGCCGCGGUAAUACGUAGGGUGCAAGCGUUAAUCGGAAUUACUGGGCGUAAAGCGUGCGCAGGCGGCUUUGCAAGACAGAUGUGAAAUCCCCGGGCUCAACCUGGGAACUGCACUUGUGACUGCAUGGCUAGAGUACGGUAGAGGGGGAUGGAAUUCCGCGUGUAGCAGUGAAAUGCGUAGAUAUGCGGAGGAACACCGAUGGCGAAGGCAAUCCCCUGGACCUGUACUGACGCUCAUGCACGAAAGCGUGGGGAGCAAACAGGAUUAGAUACCCUGGUAGUCCACGCCCUAAACGAUGUCAACUGGUUGUUGGACGGCUUGCUGUUCAGUAACGAAGCUAACGCGUGAAGUUGACCGCCUGGGGAGUACGGCCGCAAGGUUGAAACUCGAAAGGAUUGACGG
Molecule: ribosomal RNA, 585 nt
Filed under: uncultured bacterium
Lineage: Bacteria
Description: bacterial SSU rRNA
Rfam family: Bacterial small subunit ribosomal RNA
Source: RNAcentral